Molecule: transfer RNA, 82 nt
Filed under: Acidobacteriota bacterium
Lineage: Bacteria; Pseudomonadati; Acidobacteriota
Also listed under: 1 other name
Description: tRNA-Leu
Rfam family: tRNA
About the family: Transfer RNA (tRNA) molecules are approximately 80 nucleotides in length. Their secondary structure includes four short double-helical elements and three loops (D, anti-codon, and T loops).
Source: RNAcentral
GCCCAGGUGGCGGAAUUGGUAGACGCGCACGUUUGAGGGGCGUGUGGAGUGAUCCGUGCUGGUUCGAUUCCAGUCCUGGGCA